GAAAUGCGAUACGUAAUGUGAAUUGCAGAAUUCAGUGAAUCAUCGAAUCUUUGAACGCACAUUGCACUCUCUGGUAUUCCGGAGAGUAUGCUUGUUUGAGUAUCAGUAAACACCUCAAGUCUCUUCUCUAGGGAAGAGAAUUGGACUUGAGCAAUCCCAACUCUUUGCAAAAAGGGGCGGGUUGCUUGAAAUGCAGGUGCAGCUGGACAUUCUUCUGAGCUAAAAGCAUAUUUAUUUAGUCCCGUCAAACGGAUUAUUACUUUUGCUCUAGCUAAUAUAAAGGUCGAAUGCGCUAUAUGCUGACUGAUGCAGGAUUACCAAGUUUUACUAGCUAAAACUUGUAAACUCGAUCUCAAAUCAAGUAAGACUACCCGCUGAACUUAA
RNAcentral lists this unclassified non-coding RNA (384 nucleotides) under uncultured fungus. Its description in RNAcentral is "sequence contains ITS1". The stretch from base 1 to 105 matches the Rfam family "5.8S ribosomal RNA", at positions 50 to 154 of the family's 154-position model. Lineage: Eukaryota; Fungi. The record is from RNAcentral.